GCUACUCAAGGGUGUAUGGUGGAUGGCUUGACAAAACAUGCUGAUGAAGGACGUAGCAGUCUGCGAUAAGCUUCGGUGAGGUGACAAGCAACCUUUGACCCGGAGAUGUCCGAAUGGGGAAACCCGGCUGGGGUAAUGCCCAGUCACUGUGCACUAAAUACAUAGGUGUACAGGAGGCACCCAGGGAAGUGAAACAUCUCAGUACCUGGAGGAAAAGAAAAUAACGAGUACUAUUCUCAUCUUGACGCUCGACCUAGUCGAGAAUCGAGAUGACGAAUAGUUGCUUACAUUCCCAAAGUAGUGGCGAGCGAAAUGGGAUCAGCCUAAACCAACCAAGUGAAAUACGCUGAAGUAUCUCUUCGGAGAUGUGGAUGCGAUAUGAAAGGUAACAGCCGUUGCUUGGUUGGUGUUGUAAGUCCAGAUGUGCACAUCUGUUAAUGUGCGGUAUGUAUAGAUGAUCUUUAGUGGAAUCUUCUGGAAAGAAGAACCAAAGAAGGUGAUAGUCCUGUACGCAAAAAGGAUGCAUCUACAUACGGUCUGGCACUUAAGUACGGCGGGACACGUGAAAUCCUGUCGGAAUCUGCCGCGACUAUGCGGCAAGGCUAAAUACAUGUUUUGAUCGAUAGUGUACUAGUACCGUGAGGGAAAGCUGAAAAGAACCCCGAGAGGGGAGUGAAAUAGAAUCUGAAACCAUAUACCUACAAAGAGUCGGAGCUCUGCCUUCGGGCGGGGUGACGGCGUUCCUAUUGAAGAAUGAGCCAACGAGUUCGUGUCUGUUGCAGGUUAAGUCCUUCGGGAUGGAGCCAAAGUGAAAGCAAGCCUUAACGGGCGUUUGUAUCAGACAUGAGACCCGAAACCGAGUGACCUAACCAUGGCCAGGGUGAAGCCAGUGUAAAAGCUGGUGGAGGCCCGAACCCACGUGCCGUGCAAAACACGGGGAUGAGCUGUGGUUAGCGGAGAAAUUCCAAUCGAACUCGGUAAUAGCUGGUNNNNNNNNNNNNNGCCGAAAAUAUACCGGGGCUAAGUAAUUCACCGAAGCUGAGGGUGUGAUGUUUCUUCGGAAACAUUACGCGGUAGAGGAGCAUUCCUAUUGCGCUGAAGUUGAGUCGUAAGGCUUGGUGGAGCGAUAGGAAGUGAGAAUGUUGGCAUGAGU
This 1153-nucleotide ribosomal RNA is filed under the name Candidatus Uhrbacteria bacterium. RNAcentral describes it as "bacterial LSU rRNA". It matches the Rfam family "Bacterial large subunit ribosomal RNA", at positions 1 to 1307 of the family's 2925-position model. The record is from RNAcentral. Lineage: Bacteria; Candidatus Uhriibacteriota.